This 970-nucleotide long non-coding RNA is filed under the name Apteryx owenii (little spotted kiwi). RNAcentral describes it as "lncRNA (ENSAOWG00000012590.1)". The record is from RNAcentral. Lineage: Eukaryota; Metazoa; Chordata; Aves; Apterygiformes; Apterygidae.
CAGGCUGAGACCUGCAAGAGAAAGUGGGGUUGGAGUCACAGCAGGCAGAAGCGUUUCAGAGCAGUGAAAGAUGGCGCAAUUUUUUCCUCCCUUUAGGAGCAAAAGAAGCCCCAAAAGUCAAUCCUGGGCCGCCAUUUCUCAGGACUCCAGCCACAGAGGACAUGCUGGACUUAGCCUUCACCUUUUAAAGACACUGAUGGGACGUGUCUGAAGAGGUCCCCGACCCUCACUUUGAGGGCAAAAGAAAGAAACAGAGCAUCUUUCCCCUGCCUCGCUGCUCUCGGCCAAAAUCUGAGCCAAACUCCUACGAAAAGUGCAAAAAACCCUCCCGUUCUGUGGYGUAGUUUUUCUUUUGUUUUUCGCAGUAAGGGAAUUGCCGCUGUUUCGACUACAGGCAGAUGAACAGCAAGUACGCUGUGCCUUUGAAAGCCCAGACGUCGACCCACACAAGAUAUACAUAGUAGUAACAGCAAGGGUUUACACGUGUCGCAGCAAUGGCAAGAGUCAAGUGGAAGAGCACCAGCAUCCAGUCCGUGGCAGAGGAAACGAGGAACAGGAACGUGYGCUCAAAAUAGGUUUGCUUACAGAAACCAGGCAAGCAGAGCGGCACAGCUGGCUAGCUCAGCCCUUGCUUCCUUUCCCAGGCCUUCCCCGAGCAGGUCCGCGGCAGGGGUGCGGACCCACGGAGACACACGUACGAGCCCAAUUAGCGCGCAGGAGCUUUUCUACACACCCGUGCAAAAUCCUCCCAGAGCAGACAAAUCACACGGCAGGCAGCUGCCUCGAUCUCCGCUCGGCCAGAGGCAGCCCGCUCCGGGCAGCGCGGCUGACGUCGGGGCGCCGCUGGAAGCUGCUUCCAGCUGAGCUGCGUGCCGCCGGGGAGCCCGGCCCCAUCAUCCGCGGAUACGCUGCCCCCGGCCUUUGCGUUAUCAGCAAAAGCCACCUCGGUCUAAUGAUUGAACUUCUUUAA